Molecule: ribosomal RNA, 468 nt
Filed under: uncultured bacterium
Lineage: Bacteria
Description: partial 16S ribosomal RNA
Rfam family: Bacterial small subunit ribosomal RNA
Source: RNAcentral
GACGAACGCUGGCGGCGUGCUUAACACAUGCAAGUCGAACGGAAAGGCCCUGCUUUUGUGGGGUGCUCGAGUGGCGAACGGGUGAGUAACACGUGAGUAACCUGCCCUUGACUUUGGGAUAACUUCAGGAAACUGGGGCUAAUACCGGAUAGGAGCUCCUGCUGCAUGGUGGGGGUUGGAAAGUUUCGGCGGUUGGGGAUGGACUCGCGGCUUAUCAGCUUGUUGGUGGGGUAGUGGCUUACCAAGGCUUUGACGGGUAGCCGGCCUGAGAGGGUGACCGGCCACAUUGGGACUGAGAUACGGCCCAGACUCCUACGGGAGGCAGCAGCGGGGAAUAUUGCACAAUGGGCGGAAGCCUGAUGCAGCAACGCCGCGUGCGGGAUGACGGCCUUCGGGCUGUAAACCGCUUUCGCCUGUGACGAAGCGUGAGUGACGGUAAUGGGUAAAGAAGCACCGGCUAACUACGUG